GUAAGGUUAUAUGAGUAAGUCCUGAUAAGCUACACAAGACGACCAACUUAUUUUCACAGAAUGUAUUCACAUUUUAAAAAAGUAAAUGAUACUACGUUUCCAGUUGCAUGUAUUUUCCACUGAACACAAGAUCACUGAGCUAGUGCAGUUGCCAAGAGCUAUUCAUGCAUAAAAAUACUUGGAAACACUUCAAAUAUUGUACUUGGUAUUUUGUUGAAUCCUGUCACAAAGAGCAACUCGAGAGUGGAAUAUAACAAGUGUCCACUUGAGUGGUUGGACUCUUAGACAUUUCCUGUUGAAAUGUUUGUUGGGUGAUGUCGUAAUGUUUUGUGACGCCAUGUUUUGUGUUGCAAUGUUUUGUGUUUCAAUACUUCGUCCGGUUGUGUGUUGCAAUUGUAUUUUUACACACGGUGUCCGAGUGUCCGCCAUUUUCAGUUAUCUCAUCAUUCUGUAAUGUCUCUGAAAGGCUCUCCUUCAUCCCUUCUUAGUGUAACCUUGCUUCCCUCACCUUCUCUGCAAUGUCUACUGCCCCACAUCUUCUGAUCUCUUCAUCCCAUAAUGUCUCUGACAGACCCUCGUUCAUCUGUUCUGAUUACGUGUCCAUACCAUUUCAACCUUGAUUAUCUUCUCUGCAAUGUCUACCACCCCGGAUAUUAUUCUGAUCUCUUCAUUUCAUAAUGUCUCUGACCAGCUCUCCUUCAUCUCUUCUUAUUACGUGUUCAUACCAUCUCAGCCUUGCUUCCCUCGCCUUCUCUGCAAUGUCUAUCACCCCACAUAUAUUAUUCUGACCUCGACCUCUUCGAUCACGUAUUUUUAGAUGUUUCUAAGUGCAAACCAAAACAAUGAAAAUUCAUUCUACUUUUUAUUUCGCUACGGCCUAGACUUUAUUUGCCUACAUACAUACUAAAGCACGCAUUUGCCGCCAUAAAAACUACA
This is a non-coding RNA of Paramuricea clavata, 936 nucleotides long. The record is from the annotation of a GenBank genome assembly. Lineage: Eukaryota; Metazoa; Cnidaria; Anthozoa; Malacalcyonacea; Plexauridae.